This 132-nucleotide ribosomal RNA is filed under the name Triticum aestivum (bread wheat). RNAcentral describes it as "partial small subunit ribosomal RNA". Lineage: Eukaryota; Viridiplantae; Streptophyta; Magnoliopsida; Poales; Poaceae. The record is from RNAcentral.
AUGAAGCUCCUGUUCCAGUGCCCCUGCUGCGCAUGCUUCUGCUUCGUCAGGGCCAAGAAGAGCAGCCAAGGCAAGCAGGGAGGAGCUGGAGAUGACGGGGGCAAAUUCCAAGGGAAACCCACAGAUGUGUAG